This 205-nucleotide ribosomal RNA is filed under the name uncultured Anoxybacillus sp. RNAcentral's name for it is "partial 16S ribosomal RNA". It matches the Rfam family "Bacterial small subunit ribosomal RNA", at positions 1179 to 1382 of the family's 1533-position model. The record is from RNAcentral. Lineage: Bacteria; Bacillati; Bacillota; Bacilli; Caryophanales; Anoxybacillaceae.
AUGACGUCAAAUCAUCAUGCCCCUUAUGACCUGGGCUACACACGUGCUAUAAUGGGCGGUACAAAGGGUCGCGAACCCGCGACGGGGGAGCCAAUCCCAAAAAGCCGCUCUCAGUUCGGAUUGCAGGCUGCAACUCGCCUGCAUGAAGCCGGAAUCGCUAGUAAUCGCGGAUCAGCAUGCCGCGGUGAAUACGUUCCCGGGCCUU